Molecule: ribosomal RNA, 460 nt
Filed under: uncultured bacterium
Lineage: Bacteria
Description: partial 16S ribosomal RNA
Rfam family: Bacterial small subunit ribosomal RNA
Source: RNAcentral
CCUACGGGAGGCAGCAGUGAGGAAUAUUGGUCAAUGGGCGCGAGCCUGAACCAGCCAAGUAGCGUGAAGGAUGACUGCCCUACGGGUUGUAAACUUCUUUUAUAAAGGAAUAAAGCGAGGCACGUGUGCCGUUUUGUAUGUACUUUAUGAAUAAGGAUCGGCUAACUCCGUGCCAGCAGCCGCGGUAAUACGGAGGAUCCGAGCGUUAUCCGGAUUUAUUGGGUUUAAAGGGAGCGUAGAUGGGUUGUUAAGUCAGUUGUGAAAGUUUGCGGCUCAACCGUGGAAUUGCAAGUGAUACUGGCAGUCUUGAGUACAGGUGAGGUAGGUGGAAUUCGUGGUGUAGCGGUGAAAUGCUUAGAUAUCACGAAGAACUCCGAUUGCGAAGGCAGCUUACUAAACUGCCACUGACGUUGAUGCUCGAAAGUGUGGGUAUCGAACAGGAUUAGAUACCCUUGUAGUC